RNAcentral lists this microRNA precursor (126 nucleotides) under Hordeum vulgare. RNAcentral's name for it is "microRNA MIR1122". It matches the Rfam family "MIR1120/MIR1122 microRNA precursor family". The record is from RNAcentral. Lineage: Eukaryota; Viridiplantae; Streptophyta; Magnoliopsida; Poales; Poaceae.
UAAAUACUUCCUCUGUUCAGAAUUACUUGUCGCGGAAAUGGAUAUAUCUAGACGUAUUUUUAGUAUUAGAUACAUUAAUUUUUAUCCAUUUUUAAGACAAGUAGUUUGAGACGGAGGGAGUAUUCA